Molecule: unclassified non-coding RNA, 21 nt
Filed under: Mus musculus (house mouse)
Lineage: Eukaryota; Metazoa; Chordata; Mammalia; Rodentia; Muridae
Description: oocyte_clustered_small_RNA13247
Source: RNAcentral
UCCGGGUCAUCCAUGUGCGGC